RNAcentral lists this transfer RNA (72 nucleotides) under Rhodomicrobium vannielii ATCC 17100. It matches the Rfam family "tRNA". From Rfam's summary of the family: Transfer RNA (tRNA) molecules are approximately 80 nucleotides in length. Their secondary structure includes four short double-helical elements and three loops (D, anti-codon, and T loops). Further hydrogen bonds mediate the characteristic L-shaped molecular structure. tRNAs have two regions of fundamental functional importance: the anti-codon, which is responsible for specific mRNA codon recognition, and the 3' end, to which the tRNAs corresponding amino acid is attached (by aminoacyl-tRNA synthetases). tRNAs cope with the degeneracy of the genetic code in two manners: having more than one tRNA (with a specific anti-codon) for a particular amino acid; and 'wobble' base-pairing, i.e. permitting non-standard base-pairing at the 3rd anti-codon position. The record is from Rfam by way of RNAcentral. RNAcentral also lists the same sequence under 1 other name. Lineage: Bacteria; Pseudomonadati; Pseudomonadota; Alphaproteobacteria; Hyphomicrobiales; Hyphomicrobiaceae.
GCCCCGUUCGUCUAGCGGUCAGGACGCGGCCCUCUCACGGCUGAAACAGGAGUUCGAUUCUCCUACGGGGCG